Molecule: non-coding RNA, 284 nt
Organism: Pelobates cultripes (western spadefoot toad)
Lineage: Eukaryota; Metazoa; Chordata; Amphibia; Anura; Pelobatidae
Source: the annotation of a GenBank genome assembly
CACACACUCAAUGACAAACAUACAGACAUCUCUGACAGCCAGACUCACUUAUCUGACACACUCAUUCAUUGACAGACACUCACACGCACACUGACAGACUCAUUGAAAAACACACACUGACACACACACACACACAAACUCACAGACACUGACAGACACACGUACUCACAUGCGCACAUGCACAUACUGACAGACACACAUACUCACACACACACUGACAGAACCACACAUACACACACACAUACUGACAGACACACAUACUCACACACACACUGACAGACAUA